This 600-nucleotide unclassified non-coding RNA is filed under the name uncultured bacterium. Its description in RNAcentral is "partial contains 16S ribosomal RNA, 16S-23S ribosomal RNA intergenic spacer, and 23S ribosomal RNA". The stretch from base 487 to 600 matches the Rfam family "Bacterial large subunit ribosomal RNA", at positions 1 to 114 of the family's 2925-position model. The record is from RNAcentral.
UCUAAGGAGAACUGGUCACGUACUGCAAGGCAGUACCGAGAAAAGUGACCAUUAUCCCAGGUCAGCCCUUUCUUCUGGUCUUACAUUGUUUAAUUUUGAGGGUAUACCCCGUGGAGCCAUACGGCUUCGCGGCGGGAACUCUCGAUUUUUUCUGCACCUUGAAAACUGAACAGAGAGAAAGAAUGCGAAGCAAGGCAACAGAGGGCGUCGCACGUGAGAGCGUGUGACAAACAAAAGAAGCGAAGAACGAGAAAAUGUGGAACUUUAAUUAAUUAGGGUGAAACAGCAAUUUCAAGAACUUCCGAUGAAGUUGCCUGCAUAAUUCUAAAUGCUAAGAGAACCAAGCGAGAUCAUAACACAGCCGAGCGAAGCCCAGCGGAAGCGGGUUUGUGAGGCAGAGGAAGAAGCGGGGAGCGAAGCGAAGUCAAACGUCAGAAGCGGCACGCUGAUGACGGUAGACGGAGAGGAGCGUGCCGCUUCUGACGAGGUCAAGCUAAAAAGAGCGCAAGGGGAAUGCCUUGGCAUCAGGAGCCGACGAAGGACGUGACAAGCUGCGAUAAGCCACGGGGAGCCGCAAAUAGGCGUUAAUCCGUGGAUUUC